CCGUGAACCUUUACUAUAGCUUGACACUGAACAUUGAGCCUUGAUGUGUAGGAUAGGUGGGAGGCUUUGAAGUGUGGACGCCAGUCUGCAUGGAGCCGACCUUGAAAUACCACCCUUUAAUGUUUGAUGUUCUAACGUGGACCCGUGAUCCGGGUUGCGGACAGUGUCUGGUGGGUAGUUUGACUGGGGCGGUCUCCUCCUAAAGAGUAACGGAGGAGCACGAAGGUUGGCUAAUCCUGGUCGGACAUCAGGAGGUUAGUGCAAUGGCAUAAGCCAGCUUGACUGCGAGCGUGACGGCGCGAGCAGGUGCGAAAGCAGGUCAUAGUGAUCCGGUGGUUCUGAAUGGAAGGGCCAUCGCUCAACGGAUAAAAGGUACUCCGGGGAUAACAGGCUGAUACCGCCCAAGAGUUCAUAUCGACGGCGGUGUUUGGCACCUCGAUGUCGGCUCAUCACAUCCUGGGGCUGAAGUAGGUCCCAAGGGUAUGGCUGUUCGCCAUUUAAAGUGGUACGCGAGCUGGGUUUAGAACGUCGUGAGACAGUUCGGUCCCUAUCUGCCGUGGGCGCUGGAGAACUGAGGGGGGCUGCUCCUAGUACGAGAGGACCGGAGUGGACGCAUCACUGGUGUUCGGGUUGUCAUGCCAAUGGCACUGCCCGGUAGCUAAAUGCGGAAGAGAUAAGUGCUGAAAGCAUCUAAGCACGAAACUUGCCCCGAGAUGAGUUCUCCCUGACCCUUUAAGGGUCCUGAAGGAACGUUGAAGACGACGACGUUGAUAGGCCGGGUGUGUAAGCGCAGCGAUGCGUUGAGCUAACCGGUACUAAUGAACCGUGAGGCUUAACCUUACAACGCCGAAG
RNAcentral lists this ribosomal RNA (852 nucleotides) under Shigella flexneri. Its description in RNAcentral is "partial 23S ribosomal RNA". It matches the Rfam family "Bacterial large subunit ribosomal RNA", at positions 2091 to 2925 of the family's 2925-position model. Lineage: Bacteria; Pseudomonadati; Pseudomonadota; Gammaproteobacteria; Enterobacterales; Enterobacteriaceae. The record is from RNAcentral.